CCCAACCCUGUCCUGAAUCCGUUUUGGGUAUAUAAAAUUGCACUCCACCCCCGUCCCGUUACCCAUCAUUAUCCAUCAAGGCGGGUAAUCUCAACCCCAUUUGGGGUGGGUACUUGUGGGUAUCCAUCUCUGCAGGUUAAGUUUUUGUCUCUAGUCUUCGAGUGAAACACUUUACCAAACACAAAAAUUAUCAAGGGUUUCUCAAGGCAUUCAUGCAUGAAAGAAAUCAACAGAAAAUUAAAUCAAGAAUAGAGAGGGAAUCAAAGAAGAACAUGUAGAUUGUAGAGGUUCGCCCAAAUUGUUUGGGGUACAUCCUCUAUCGAGCUCGCCACAAUAGAUUGCUCAGUCAAUCAUAUUACUCAGGCCAAGAUUACAAUUCAUCGAUUCCAGCCAAAUCUCUGAAGGUGAAACGGCUUCGAAUCACCUAGAUCUAAAAAGGGAAGCGUCUUUAAAUACUAUUGUUGUUAAGAGAAGAAAGGUUGGCACAUAGUGGAUUUAUCAACACUCCUCAUGAUCUUCACAUCUCUGACUAUUUACAUGAGUUAUGGUUUGGAGAUCACAUUGCGAUUCAGUGGGAAGAAAUAAAGAGUUUCCUUAUAGUUAAUCUCUGUUUUUACCAGCCCUGACCUUUCAUCAGGAAUAACACUAUAGCCGAUGGCGCAAAAUCAUCGGCAAUAACACUAAUUCUGGUGGUGCAAAAGUCUUGGCAAUUCUUCUUUUAUUGUCGAAGAUUUUGAAGUGUUGGUAAACUUCGUUACUAACUAUUUUCCACUGAUGUCUAUUCCGCCCAGUUUUGCAUUGGUUGAAUAGGUGCCAGUCAUAGAGACGGACAACAAUACAAUACCUAGCAUUUUAAACUAUUGAUAAAUUCUCUUUUUUUCGCAGUGUAAUUAAUUACUAAUGUGAAAAAUAUUUAAAAGUUAAUAACUUAAUGUAUGAACAAAUUUUUGCAACUUGGAAUAUAUAUAAAAAUGUUUUGUUUAAAAUAGUAUUUUUUAAUAGUUAGUCCCCUAGUAAUUCAUUUUUCGCUUGGCCUGUAUUAUAUAUUACAGUUUUUUUAUUUUAAUGAAGAAAAGCGUGCAAAUAUAUUAGAAUAAAAUUAGUUAGACCUAUCGGUCGUUACAAAUAUAUUACAGUUAUUAAUACACACUUUAACUUAUAUCUUUUCAAUAAUUAAUUUUUAUUAAAUUAUUUAUUUUUUUAUAACAACUAA
Cannabis sativa is the source of this 1213-nucleotide long non-coding RNA. RefSeq lists it as uncharacterized. The transcript is spliced from 3 exons. The record is from RefSeq and is a predicted model, not a curated record. NCBI's taxonomy places the organism in Eukaryota, Viridiplantae, Streptophyta, Magnoliopsida, Rosales, Cannabaceae.